Molecule: ribosomal RNA, 253 nt
Filed under: uncultured bacterium
Lineage: Bacteria
Description: partial 16S ribosomal RNA
Rfam family: Bacterial small subunit ribosomal RNA
Source: RNAcentral
UACAGAGGUGGCAAGCGUUGUUCGGAAUUACUGGGCGUAAAGGGCGCGUAGGCGGCCAUCUAAGUCAGACGUGAAAUCCCCCGGCUUAACCUGGGAACUGCGUCUGAUACUGGAAGGCUUGAGUAUGGGAGAGGGAUGCAGAAUUCCAGGUGUAGCGGUGAAAUGCGUAGAUAUCUGGAGGAAUACCGGUGGCGAAGGCGGCAUCCUGGACCGACAUUGACGCUGAGGAGCGAAAGCCAGGGGAGCAAACGGG